This 467-nucleotide ribosomal RNA is filed under the name uncultured bacterium. RNAcentral's name for it is "partial 16S ribosomal RNA". It matches the Rfam family "Bacterial small subunit ribosomal RNA", at positions 28 to 506 of the family's 1533-position model. The record is from RNAcentral.
GACGAACGCUGGCGGCGUGCUUAACACAUGCAAGUCGAACGGAAAGGCCCUGCUUUUGUGGGGUGCUCGAGUGGCGAACGGGUGAGUAACACGUGAGUAACCUGCCCUUGACUUUGGGAUAACUUCAGGAAACUGGGGCUAAUACCGGAUAGGAGCUCCUGCUGCAUGGUGGGGGUUGGAAAGUUUCGGCGGUUGGGGAUGGACUCGCGGCUUAUCAGCUUGUUGGUGGGGUAGUGGCUUACCAAGGCUUUGACGGGUAGCCGGCCUGAGAGGGUGACCGGCCAAAUGGGGCCGGAGAGCCGCCCCAGGCCCCUCGGGGGGCCAGCGGGGGGGAAGUUGGCCCAAGGGGCGGAGGCCUGAUGCAGCAACCCCGCGGGCGGGAGGGGGCCCUUCGGGUUGAAACCCCCUUUCCCCUGUGACGAAGCGUGAGUGACGGUAAUGGGUAAAGAAGCCCCGGCUAACUACGU